Molecule: non-coding RNA, 210 nt
Organism: Paramuricea clavata
Lineage: Eukaryota; Metazoa; Cnidaria; Anthozoa; Malacalcyonacea; Plexauridae
Source: the annotation of a GenBank genome assembly
UUUGCGUGUUUGAUAAAUGUGGUUUGUUUACGUAAUUCUGUUUCAGGAGUUUUUCUCGAGGGUCGAGGGCGGGAAGCGAGGGUCGAAAAAUCAUAAUAUAUAAAACGUCGAGGGUCAUAUAAAAAAGUCGAGGGUCAUCAGUAAAAUGUCCGGGGUCGUAUUUCUAAAAUACUUUUUUGUGGUUUUUAUUGUCGAGGGUAGAAAUUUGCG